AAAGAAAGAAAGAAAGAAAGAAAGAAAGAAAGAAAGAAAGAAAGAAAGAAACCUCCAGUGAAUGAGAGACCACCACUUUCCAAGAUUCUAUUCUGUCACAUCAGCUUUACAAGCCUUUUGCAAAGGGACAAGAUGAUCCUGGGCAGCAGAAAACUCCUUUGUUUCCUGUUGUGCGAUCCUAAGCAAAAGAAAAUAUAUAUUUCAGUGUGGGGCUUAAGUCUACAUAGAGAUGGCAUUAAAGCAGACGUUCCAGAGCCACAUCAAAUAUUGGAGAUUGAAAGCCAAGAACACAUCUAAUGCUGCUCAAAAUCUGGGAGGAGAGCACAUUUAUGUAUCAAGGAACUAUUGUCAUAUCCAAAGAGGUUAUGAGCCGAUAUGAAGCCCGCUCUGUGCCUGCAACCCUUUGCUACAAUGCUUCAUAUUCAAGGUUUUGCAAGUGGAUGCUCAGUUUGCGAACGUGAUCUGUGCGGGAUGCACAUUUGCAACCCGCAUCGUCCGCAACCCGCAGCAGCAUGUCUGCAUACACGCGGGUUGCAAUUCAGCGCUUGUGCGCAUGCGCAAAGUGUGAUUUAGUGCUUCUGCGCAUGUGCAACCGCCGAAACCCGUUCUAGUACUUCCAGGUUUCGGCGGUCCGCAACCCAAAAAAACGCAACCUGAACUGUCUGUAACCUGAGGUAUGACUGUAGACCACGUUUGUGAACCUCCGGAGCAUAUUGGACCACCAAAGCAGACUGAUAUUUUCCUACUCAAGAGAAUGAGGACAAACAUAUGAAACACCUUAUACUGCGGCUGCAUUCACAUUGCAGCUUAUUCCAUUUGUCUGAUGUUUCCCAAACUGUUAAUUUACAUCUAAUAUUUGAGCUUGCA
Podarcis raffonei (Aeolian wall lizard) is the source of this 867-nucleotide long non-coding RNA. RefSeq lists it as uncharacterized. The transcript is spliced from 3 exons. The record is from RefSeq and is a predicted model, not a curated record. Lineage: Eukaryota; Metazoa; Chordata; Lepidosauria; Squamata; Lacertidae.